GGGGAUAAGAAACUGUGAACAUCAGUUCUCACAAAAAUCUCCCCUUGUGUAGAACAGAGGUUUGUUGGCUGUCUUAAGAUAUCCAUUUCCAAUGGACAAUCAUAACAAGAGAAGGAUGACAGGGAUAAAGAAACUGCAUUUAUGGCACCCCCUGCAGGAGAACUAAGGGGCGCUGAGUUUGUUUACAAACAAUUAAAGGCUGAAUUCCUCCAGCUUUUAACACAAAAUCAAAAGUUAUCACCGUGUUUUGGGGGUCGAAUUAACAUUUGAUUGUUAUUAACAGGACAUACAAAAUUAGUUUGCGAUCAUUUCACACAGUAAAUGUCAUUAUACUGAGGGUGGAGUGUGGGACUGUAAUUCACUUGUUUUUUCUUGCUUCUGUUUUACGAGACAACCAUGUUUUUCCAUCCAGAUGUUCCACCAAUAAGAAGCCACUGUUUCCAGUGAAGGAAGGAGGCGGAGGAAGGAAUUCUACUGCUACUGCCGCUGCUGGACCGGGAUGCUUAUUAUUAUUAUCUGUCAAACCCAGUAGCCGUUAAGAUCAGGGGGGAAAUCGUUGAUUUUAUUUUCGUUAGACAAACGAGGACGAUGAUGAAGAGCAUGUCAACAGUCGUUGUAGGGCUGUGUACGGUGUACUUUGCACAUGCCUUCGAACACAGUGCUUUACUUGAGAGAAAUGUCCACAUGGAGCGAUCCAUGGGCUUGAAGCAGAGAACAGCAUUGUACAGAGAUGUGGUUACCAUUUUAUCCAGGGCUCAUUCUGACCUCACUGUCUACCCAUCUGCUGGGGUCUUGUUUGUCCAUGUUCUGGAGAGAGAGCACUUCAAAGGGGAGUUUCCCCCCUACCCAAAAUCAGGUGAUGGCAGCAACGAUCCCAUCACUUUCAACACUAACCUGAUGGGAUACCCAGACAGGCCGGGCUGGCUGCGUUACAUUCAGAGGACUCCACACAGUGACGGUGUCCUCUAUGGUUCCCCCACUGCGGAACAUGUUGGCAAGCCCACAGUCAUAGAGAUUACUGCCUACAACAGACGCACUUUCGAGACAGCACGGCACAACUUGGUCAUAAACAUCAUGGCUACAGAAGAGUUUUCUCUGCCUUACCAGGCUGAGUUUUACAUCAAAAACAUGAAUGUGGAGGAGAUGCUGGCCAGUGAAGUGCUGGGAGACUUCCUUGGUGCAGUGAAGAAUGUGUGGCAGCCUGAACGCCUCAAUGCCAUCAACAUCACCUCGGCACUGGACCGUGGCGGCCGCGUGCCUCUGCCCAUCAAUAACCUCAAAGAAGGAGUGUAUGUGAUGGUUGGUGCUGACGUUCCCUUCUCGUCGUGCCUGCGGGAGGUGGAGAGCCCACACAACCAGCUACGCUGUAGCCAGGAGAUGGAGCCUGUCAUCAGCUGUGACAAGAAGUUCAGGGCUCAGUUUCACAUUGACUGGUGUAAAAUUUCUCUGGUUGACACUAACAAAGUGGUCCCAGUAUACAUAACACGCGCUGAACCAGGCACAGGGAUCCUGCCGGAUUUUGGAGAAUACAACCCACCUCCUGAGACUCUGAAGAGCCGGAACUACUUUUCUGACUUCCUCAUCACGCUAGCCGUUCCCUCUGCUGUGGCACUAGUCCUUUUCUUCAUCCUUGGCUACAGCAUGUGCUGCCGACGGGAAGGGGUGGAAAAAAGAAACAUGCAAACACCAGAUAUCCAGCUGGUCCACCACAGCUCCAUCCAGAAGUCCACCAAGGAGCUGCGGACCAUGUCUAAGAACCGUGAGAUCUCCUGGCCACUCUCCACCCUGCCCGUCUUCAACCCGGUCAGUGGUGAGGUGGUGCCACCCAUCCAUCCAGACAACUACGAGACCACCAGCAUGCCCCUUAUGCAGACACAGACGAACCUUCAAAACCAGAUUACAAUACCACAGCAGCGGCCAUCAGCCAAUAACGGUGACGACGCAUCGACGCCACGGGUUGUUGAUGCGUGAGCGCCAUCCUGUGUGCAUGGCUGUGAACUGCAUGAGAAACUAACCCACUGCUCUCUCUGUCCACUGCUAACAAAGGAGAUAACUAUGUCAUGUCAACAUUUCAAAGGCUGGAGGUAAAUGGUAUUCCUGAGGAGAGAAAGGUGGCCGAAGCCCUAAAUUUGUGACCAGAAAACAACCACAUCAAACCUUUAUGUCUUCAAUGUCCAUGUAUUUUUUUUUAAAACAUUUGUGCCAAUUCCCAUCACUCAGAAGUGUCUUGAGAAAAGUUUAUGCACUCACAUUUUGAAGAGUGCACGUGUUGAAGAAACAGAGAUUAUAGGAGUUUUAAGAAGAACAUGUUUAAAGGACUGAAAACACAAAGGUUUAAAAUGGUAAUUCCUCGCACAAUGGGCCUCCGAGAGGAAAAGGAGGUUGUACUGUACAUGGAGUUUCUGUACAUUGGUCGUCAUUGUUACGUGUUACAUGAUGACAGUAAAAUAUUUCCAAAUUGUUUUUACUUGUUGAAAAAAAAUCUAGGAAAUAAACAAAGGUAAUGUCAAAAUGACAAGGAAGGAGGUACAGUGUAGAGCAGAAUAAAGGCAUUUAUAAAUAAAUUGGAUAUAGUUCACAUUUUUUGAAGACAUCGCAAUUUUACAUGUAACAUUUCAAAGUGGCCCCUGCACAGGGUUAUAAAUAGUUGUUGCUUUUACAUGACCAAAGAGAUCUAUUAAGGCCUGAAACAAUUACUAAAGCUGUGAAUCAAUAAAAGGUCCGGAAAAAAAGUUAACUUUUUUAGUUUACACAACGAAAAAUUGCA
Molecule: RNA transcript, 2767 nt
Organism: Cynoglossus semilaevis (tongue sole)
Lineage: Eukaryota; Metazoa; Chordata; Actinopteri; Pleuronectiformes; Cynoglossidae
Gene: sgce
Gene name: sarcoglycan, epsilon
Exons: 13
Source: RefSeq, a predicted model, not a curated record